UACGUAGGUGGCAAGCGUUAUCCGGAUUUAUUGGGCGUAAAGAGAACGCAGGCGGUCUUUUAAGUCUGAUGUGAAAGCCUUCGGCUUAACCGGAGUAGUGCAUUGGAAACCGGGAGACUUGAGUGCAGAAGAGGAGAGUGGAACACCAUGUGUAGCGGUGAAAUGCGUAGAUAUAUGGAAGAACACCAGUGGCGAAAGCGGCUCUCUGGUCUGUAACUGACGCUGAGGUUCGAAAGCGUGGGUAGCAAACAGG
This 253-nucleotide ribosomal RNA is filed under the name uncultured bacterium. Its description in RNAcentral is "partial 16S ribosomal RNA". It matches the Rfam family "Bacterial small subunit ribosomal RNA", at positions 524 to 776 of the family's 1533-position model. The record is from RNAcentral.